RNAcentral lists this non-coding RNA (27 nucleotides) under Homo sapiens (human). The record is from RNAcentral. Lineage: Eukaryota; Metazoa; Chordata; Mammalia; Primates; Hominidae.
UAACGUACAAAGGUAACUGGAUAGAGA